AACCAGCACCUCAAGUGGUCAGGAGGAUUAUUGGGCCUAAAGCAUUCGUAGCCUGUUCUAUAAGUUUGCGGUUAAAUCUAUGCGCUCAACGUUUAGGCUGCUGUAAAUACUGUAGAACCAGGGAGUGGGAGAGGUAGACGGUACUCGAUAGGAAGGGGUAAAACCCUUUGAUCUAUUGAUGACCACCUGUGGCGAAGGCGGUCUACCAGAACACGUUCGACGGUGAGGGAUGAAAGCUGGGGGAGCAAACCGG
RNAcentral lists this ribosomal RNA (253 nucleotides) under uncultured archaeon. RNAcentral describes it as "partial 16S ribosomal RNA". It matches the Rfam family "Archaeal small subunit ribosomal RNA", at positions 474 to 727 of the family's 1478-position model. The record is from RNAcentral.